This 428-nucleotide long non-coding RNA is filed under the name Phoenix dactylifera (date palm). Its description in RNAcentral is "long non-coding RNA (PDAC_LNC023058)". Lineage: Eukaryota; Viridiplantae; Streptophyta; Magnoliopsida; Arecales; Arecaceae. The record is from RNAcentral.
CCCUCUCCCUUUGUACCGUUCCAAGCACUUGGUUCGAGGCAUACCGAGCUGCAAUGCAGGUGAACCAGCAUGGUUCUGUCCCUCAGUUCAAGAAAUCCGGCGAAACAAGAAAGAGGGAGAAGGAGAGAGAGGAAAAGAAAGAGAGAGAGGAAGGAAGAGAGAGGGGGAGAGAGGGUAAAGGAGGGAGAGAGAGAUUUCUAGCCCUCUCCUCUGGCCACACAGUAAUAGGUGUGGAGCCCUUGUUUCGAAAUAAAACAAGGGUUUUGGCCCUUUCUUUUUUUGAAAUUUUUGUUUCAAAACUCGAUACUGACUUCAAUUUAAAAAUUUAAAGCAAAAGGCCGAAGCUCUUGUUUCGUUUUGAAACAGGAGCUCUGCCCCUAUUACUGUGCAGUUGGAGGGGAUGGGACUCAUAAUUCCUCUCUCUCCCU